GACUCUCUGACGGCCGAGCCUCCACCCAAUACCCCUUCAAGAGACCAACAAGAAGGGGCGGCCGGAGACGACACAGGAAACGUAAGGACAAGGAAUCAAAAACAGGGCAAGCUGCAAUUUCCGAAGGCUCAAAGGAAAAAGAACUGAGUCCUUCUAACACUGUGAUAUUGAAGAUAGGGAAGAUCCGAUGGACUGUGAAGAAACACACCACCCGCUCUGUGCCCAUUUUUGUAUUUUUUAAUACUAGCUUAUAAGGGGUGAGGAUGCCUUCUUUACCGAGCCAAGUGAGGCAUUCCCAUCUUGAAGUCAUGGUCAAGUAUUCCGGGUCAAAUGCUCCCUCAAACUGUAAUAAGGGUGGUCUGGUUUCCUUUAUAGAGUAUCAAAUCAUCUGUGGCUUUAACUCCACUACUCUCCUAGAAAUUAUAUAGACAAAUAGUAUUAGAAAAAGAUAUUAAAGAAAAAUAGUAUAGUGUGACCAGAGCCUGAAAUCUAAAACAAACUAGUACAUGUGUAUAUCAACUACAGUAAAUAAGAAAUGUGUAUAUAGGUAGCCCAAUUGGUUACAUAUAGAUGUGAUAUGGUGUAAUGGGGUGUAUAAAUCAUUUGUAUAUGUAAAUAAUAAAGUGUAUAAAGCAAUGUGUACAUAAGUAAUGAGACACGUAAGGCGAUAAUAAAUCUAUCUAUAGGUAAUGCUAUAGAUAUGUAAUUGAUGGUGAGAAAUAUAAAUAUAAAUCCAUAUAAAUUCAUGGAACUAAUAAUAUGCAUAUUCCUCUUGCCUUCAUAUCUGUACACAUAGGAAAUGGUUAUAUGUCAUAAUGUAUGAGUAUGUUAACAACCCAUGUGCCCAGUGCCCCCACUCUCAUGCUGUGAAAUUAGUGGCAUGUAAUGACACUGUGUGACUAGUGUAGUGCAGUGAAUAUGUGCUGUGUAAUGUAUGUGUGUGGUGAGGAAUGAUGUGUGUGGGGAAAAGCAAUGUGUGACCAGGAGUGUGUGAGUCAAUUGUAGUGAGAUAAGUACAAGGAAUGAGUGUAACGGACUAGU
Hyla sarda is the source of this 1041-nucleotide long non-coding RNA. RefSeq lists it as uncharacterized. NCBI's taxonomy places the organism in Eukaryota, Metazoa, Chordata, Amphibia, Anura, Hylidae. The record is from RefSeq and is a predicted model, not a curated record. The transcript has 3 exons.